Molecule: long non-coding RNA, 1401 nt
Organism: Scophthalmus maximus (turbot)
Lineage: Eukaryota; Metazoa; Chordata; Actinopteri; Pleuronectiformes; Scophthalmidae
Source: Ensembl
AUGCGAUGUCACGAAAAGCCAACCAGAGAGAGUCCAGAGAGGAACCAGAGAGGAACCAGAGAGAAACCAGAGAGAACCAGAGAGGAACCAGAGAGGAACCAGAGAGAGUCCAGAGAGGAACCAGAGAGGAACCAGAGAGGAACCAGAGAGGAACCAGAGAGAGUCCAGAGAGGAACCAGAGAGGAACCAGAGAGGAACCAGAGAGGAACCAGAGAGGAACCAGAGAGGAACCAGAGAGAGACCAGAGAGGAACCAGAGAGGAACCAGAGAGAGUCCAGAGAGGAACCAGAGAGGAACCAGAGAGAGUCCAGAGAGGAACCAGAGAGGAACCAGAGAGAAACCAGAGAGAGUCCAGAGAGGAACCAGAGAGGAACCAGAGAGAGUCCAGAGAGGAACCAGAGAGAAACCAGAGAGAGUCCAGAGAGGAACCAGAGAGGAACCAGAGAGAGUCCAGAGAGGAACCAGAGAGAAACCAGAGAGAGUCCAGAGAGGAACCAGAGAGAAACCAGAGAGAGUCCAGAGAGGAACCAGAGAGAAACCAGAGAGGAACCAGAGAGGAACCAGAGAGGAACCAGAGAGAGGAACCAGAGAGGAACCAGAGAGGAACCAGAGAGAAACCAGAGAGGAACCAGAGAGAGGAACCAGAGAGGAACCAGAGAGGAACCAGAGAGAGGAACCAGAGAGGAACCAGAGAGGAACCAGAGAGAGGAACCAGAGAGAGGAACCAGAGAGAGGAACCAGAGAGAGGAACCAGAGAGGAACCAGAGAGAGGAACCAGAGAGAGGAACCAGAGAGGAACCAGAGAGAGGAAACCAGAGAGGAAACCAGAGAGGAAACCAGAGAGAGGAACCAGAGAGGAACCAGACAGAGGAACCAGAGAGAGGAACCAGAGAGAGGAACCAGAGAGGAACCAGAGAGGAACCAGAGAGGAACCAGAGAGGAACCAGAGAGGAACCAGAGAGGAACCAGAGAGAGGAACCAGAGAGGAACCAGAGAGAGGAACCAGAGAGAGGAACCAGAGAGGAACCAGAGAGAGGAACCAGAGAGGAACCAGAGAGGAACCAGAGAGGAACCAGAGAGGAACCAGAGAGGAAACCAGAGAGAGGACCAGAGAGGAACCAGAGAGGAACCAGAGAGGAACCAGAGAGGAACCAGAGAGGAACCAGAGAGGAACCAGAGAGGAACCAGAGAGGAACCAGAGAGGAACCAGAGAGGAACCAGAGAGAGGAACCAGAGAUGAACCAGAGAGGAACCAGAGAUGAACCAGAGAGGAACCAGAGAGGAACCAGAGAGGAACCAGAGAGGAACCAGACAGAGUCCUACCAGAGCGUUUCUCUUCUCAGGCACAAUGACUCAACGUCGUCCGACUGGAGGUUUCAACCCUCAGUGUUUCUACUGUAA